CACUAUGCCCAGCCUUAAACAUUGACAGUUAAUUACACCCACUGUCCGCCCGGGUACUACGAGCGCUAGCUUAAAACCCAAAGGACUUGGCGGUGCUUUAGACCCACCUAGAGGAGCCUGUUCUAGAACCGAUAAUCCCCGUUAAACCUCACCCUUCCUUGUUCUUUCCCGCCUAUAUACCACCGUCGUCAGCUUACCCUGUGAAGGCCCUAUAGUAAGCACAAUCGGCAAUGCCCAAUACGUCAGGUCGAGGUGUAGCGAAUGGAAGGGGAAGAAAUGGGCUACAUUUACUAAUAUAGUAAAUACGGAUGAUCACCCUGCAACGAGUAUCUGAAGGAGGAUUUAGCAGUAAGCAAAAAAUAGAGCGUUUUGCUGAAAUUGGCCCUGAAGCGUGCACACACCGCCCGUCACUCUCCCCGAACUAAGAUCUAAAACAUAACUAAUAUGCUAUAAC
This 454-nucleotide ribosomal RNA is filed under the name Chaetodon kleinii (sunburst butterflyfish). RNAcentral's name for it is "partial small subunit ribosomal RNA". It matches the Rfam family "Bacterial small subunit ribosomal RNA", at positions 788 to 1446 of the family's 1533-position model. The record is from RNAcentral. Lineage: Eukaryota; Metazoa; Chordata; Actinopteri; Chaetodontiformes; Chaetodontidae.